CAUAGCGACUAUCGUGGCAUAUCAAUAAGCGGAGGAAAAGAAACUAACUAGGAUUCCCUCAGUAACGGCGAGUGAAGCGGGAAGAGCUCAAAUUUGAAAUCUUCAAAGUUCUACCUUGACGAAUUGUAGUUUAAAGAAGUGUUUUCUGUUGGAGUUUUGGUAAAAGUUCUUUGGAAUAGGACAUCAUAGAGGGUGAGAAUCCCGUAUUUGACCAUUAUUUCCAGCUGUGUGAUACACUUUCAAAGAGUCGGAUUGUUUGGGAAUGCAGUCCAAAAUGGGUGGUAAAUUUCAUCUAAAGCUAAAUAUUGGCGAGAGACCGAUAGCGAACAAGUACCGUGAGGGAAAGAUGAAAAGAACUUUGAAAAGAGAGUUAAACAGUACGUGAAAUUGUCAAAAGGGAAGCGUUUGACACCAGUGUUGUUUUCUCGAAAAUCAAUUAAAAAUGAUGGGAUUUUGUGUUGUAUUGACUUUAUCGGCUUUCUGCACUUUUUUCCUUAUCUUUUUUAAUGCACUUUUCGUUUAACAAGUCAACAUCAGUUUCUUUUGUUGUAAAAGAGUCAUUGGAAGGUGGCUUUUCUUUCGGAGAAAGUGUUAUAGCCUUUGCUCUCUGCAAUCGGAGAGAUUGAGGUCUGCAGCGUAGAUCCUUCGGGGUUAGAUACAUUUGUGCUAAGCUAUAGUUCUUUCAUAGACAACUUGUUGACUAUAGUCUAGUCCUGUAGCUUACUCGCUUAUGCUAUUUUACCUACGCUUAGGAUGUUGACGCGCGUGUGUGCGUG
RNAcentral lists this ribosomal RNA (776 nucleotides) under uncultured Neocallimastigales. RNAcentral's name for it is "partial large subunit ribosomal RNA". It matches the Rfam family "Eukaryotic large subunit ribosomal RNA", at positions 22 to 637 of the family's 3401-position model. Lineage: Eukaryota; Fungi; Neocallimastigomycota; Neocallimastigomycetes; Neocallimastigales. The record is from RNAcentral.